RNAcentral lists this ribosomal RNA (403 nucleotides) under uncultured bacterium. RNAcentral describes it as "bacterial SSU rRNA". It matches the Rfam family "Bacterial small subunit ribosomal RNA", at positions 356 to 773 of the family's 1533-position model. The record is from RNAcentral.
UGGGAAUUUUGGACAAUGGGGGCAACCCUGAUCCAGCCACGCCGCGUGAAUGAUGAAGGCCUUCGGGUCGUAAAGUUCUUUUAGUUGGGAAAAACACAAUGAUGGUACCAACAGAAAAAGCACCGGCUAACUCCGUGCCAGCAGCCGCGGUAAUACGGAGGGUGCAAGCGUUGCUCGGAAUUAUUGGGCGUAAAGCGUAUGUAGGCGGUUUUCUAAGUCUGAUGUGAAAUCCCGGGGCUUAACCCCGGAACUGCAUUGGAUACUGGAAAGCUAGAGGACGAUAGAGGAUGGUGGAAUUCCAGGUGUAGGGGUGAAAUCCGUAGAUAUCUGGAGGAACAUCAGUGGCGAAGGCGGCCAUCUGGAUCGUACCUGACGCUGAGAUACGAAAGCGUGGGGAGCAAAC